RNAcentral lists this ribosomal RNA (460 nucleotides) under uncultured bacterium. RNAcentral describes it as "partial 16S ribosomal RNA". It matches the Rfam family "Bacterial small subunit ribosomal RNA", at positions 338 to 795 of the family's 1533-position model. The record is from RNAcentral.
CCUACGGGGGGCAGCAGUGAGGAAUAUUGGUCAAUGGGCGGAAGCCUGAACCAGCCAAGUCGCGUGAGGGAAUAAGGCCCUACGGGUCGUAAACCUCUUUUGCCGGGGAGCAAGGGCGGGGACGUGUCCCGGCCCGGAGAGUACCCGGAGAAAAAGCAUCGGCUAACUCCGUGCCAGCAGCCGCGGUAAUACGUAGGGAGCGAGCGUUGUCCGGAAUUACUGGGUGUAAAGGGAGCGUAGGCGGGACUGCAAGUUGGGUGUCAAAUCUACCGGCUCAACCGGUAGCCGCACUCAAAACUGCAGUUCUUGAGUGAAGGAGAGGCAGGCGGAAUUCCUAGUGUAGCGGUGAAAUGCGUAGAUAUUAGGAGGAACACCAGUGGCGAAGGCGGCCUGCUGGGCUUUUACUGACGCUGAGGCUCGAAAGUGUGGGGAGCAAACAGGAUUAGAUACCCCAGUAGUC